CCCUCCUCUUCCUCCUGCCCCGCCGCCAAGCCGGGCUACGUCCGGAGCUCCGGGCCCGAGCCCCGCGCGGAGGCUCAGCUUGCUGCCGCCGAGCACAAAUGCAAGAGAUCUGGGGCCUGGGUGAGCCACGUAUCGCCCGUGUCAAACCAAUCUGUGUAUUACGGCGCGGCCGGUCGCCUGCAAGACCCCAAAGGCACGCGCCGUGCGUCGGGCCGAGCGGCCCGCAGCUAGCGCAGCUGCUUGCUGCGCAGGAUAUGUUGUUAUGACAUGUAUGAUGUGUUCAGCAUGCGUCUUGCCUUUUGCUGGGGCACGCAUGAUCUGUCUAUAGCACGCAGCCUGUUUCUGUCAUGACAUGGGUGGUAUACAGCCUUAGUACGGAGAGGUUCAACUCAUAGGCAUCUCCCAGCACCAUGAGCUAUGCAGGCAACAUGUCAUACUUGGCAAAGACCCCACCACUGCCCCACACAACAUUGAGGACACCUCUGAGAAGCCCAAGCCACAGCCCGCUGGCAUGAACAGCGAGGACGAGGAGGAAGAGGAUGAUGGGAGACAUACGACUAUGGGUCCAGCUAUGCUGCAUGCCAGAACCUGUUUGAGACUCCACAUAGUCCAGUCAGUCUUGGCAUAGGUGAGCCCAAUGCCAGGGAAGGAAUCCUUAGCUGCUGCCACUGUGGCCUUGAGGUAUUCCUCAUCCAUACCCGCAGAACACCUGCACCAGAUAAGGAAGAGAAAAAAGAUGACUGGGGAUGACAUUCAAUGAGAUCCUGCAAGCCGGUGCUUCAGGAUUAUUCAAUAACAAAAUCAGUGCAAAGAAAAAAGUUAUAUUAUUUGAAAAAUAAUUCAUCUUUAUUCAUCUUUAUUAGUUCAUAAUAUAUGCUGCAGAGUGCCUACCAGUUCUGAAAGCAACCAAUGACUUGUUACUGUGCAGUGUGACACAACUCAGGAUCAGUGACAAACACAGUGUAAUAAUCAUAAAUGAACAGCAAGCACCACAAAAUUAAUAGGUGCAUUGACAAUGUUAUAUUCCUACAUGUACACCAAGCACCACACAAUUCCUAACAGGCCCCAGAACAGCAGGGGCAGAUAGAGCACAGUACCCCACAACGCAUUACUGUGGCUCACUGUUAAAGUGCUCUUUCAAAACCUCCCUGAGCUGUAUAGCUCUAUGCUGAGCUCAUCUAAUCGCUAUUGUGUCUGGCUUUUUAAAAACUCAGCAGACAGUCACUCCACCCCCACCCUGGCAGCAACUCUUCCCCCUUUGCUUCACAGAUAUAUGCAGGACACAGCAGACAGCUAUAACCAUUGGGACGUUUAUUUCACCAGUCUUGUGAGUAAAUGCCAGUGUCUUUUCAAUCUUUCAAAAGCACAUUCAACUGUCAUUCUGCACCUGCUGAGCCUGUAGCUGAAUUCUUCGAUGGUGCUGUCGAGGUGGCCAGUAUACGGUUUCAUGACUCAGGAGAGAAAGGGGUAGACUGGGUCCCCAGGAUCACGACUGGCAUUUGAACAUUGCCAAUGGUAAUUCACCAGCCAGAAAAGAAAGUCCCUACUUGUAGCUUUCUGAACAGUCCUGUGUUCUUAAAGAUGCAAACAUCAUGCACCUUCUCUCACCAGCCAUCACUGAUGUUGGUGAAGCAACCCUGGAGAUUCACAAUGCUUGCAUAACCAUAGACAGGUAGCCCCUUCUGUUGAUGUACUCUGCGGCAAGGUGGUCUGGUGCCAAAAUAUGGACAUACAUGCCAUAUAUUGCCCCAGUGCAGUUCAGGAAUCCCAUUGCUGCACAGACAUCCAUUUUGUCCUGUAUAUUGCUGAAAGUCACAGUCCAGCAUAGUAGGAGACGAUUAAUAGUACUGGCAUGACAGUGGCCUCUGCCUCCAACUCCCAAAUGAUUGCCCACUACCCAGUAGCAAUCUAGCAUUGCAACUUUCCGCAGUGCAAUUGUUACUCAUUUCUCCACUGUCAGUGCAGCACUCAUUUUGGUGUCCCUGCACUGGAGGGCUGGGGUGAGCUAGGUACACAGAUCCAGGAAUGUGGCCUUGCACAUCUGAAAGAUCUACGGUCCCUGCUCAUCAUCUCAAGUCUGCAUUAUGAUGCAAUCCCACCAGAAAGUGCUUGUUUCUCAGGCUCAAAAGUGGCACUCGACCAUCUGCAGCUCCUUCUUGAACCGGUUCUCGCUAUGUCCCACAGCAGUCUGUCCUCCAAGAAAUUGUCAUGGUCCCCGCGUACUUGGUUUUUCUUACAGCUCUGCUAAUGCCGGCAGCUCAUGCAUCUUGUGUUUGCAAUGCUCAUGACAAUAGUGCAGAGCUGUGUAGGCUCCAUGCUUCUGUCAGAGAUGAUGGCCAGUGUGAUGUUUCACUCGUAUUCUUUAUGAAAAUAUGCUUGAUAUGAAUAUGACAUAACUGAGAUAUAUUUUACGCAAGGUGGCUCGUGUAAGAUAUCAUUAGAAAGGUUAUGAUUUACUGAAUGUGAUUAUACAAAGUAUAUGCCUGUAUCAUUUCUGUAUAUGAAGUUAGGAAUAUUAACUAUGUAUCUGUAUUUCAAAUGUGUUACUUCGGGUGUGACCCCCAACCAGCCCUUCAGGUACAACAUGGAAAAUGGAAAAGCCAGACAGGGCUGAUGGCCCAUUAGCAGAGACAAUGGACCGUGAAAGAGCUUAGUUUUCCUGUGGACGCUUCAGACAGCCUGUGAGUAAUGGCUGCCACAGCCCUGCAGAAACAUGGGUCUGAGUCACCUGGAACUGGAUCCACCCCCUAGAAUGCUAGUGUUCUCCCACUGGGUGACAAAGGGUUCCCGCCAUACACAAGAGCUAUAUAAGGCAGGGGAGUGACAUCAUCAUGGUUCUCCUCCAACUCCCCACCCAAAGAGGCACUAAAAAACACCUGGAAGCAAGAACUGAACUGCAGGGAGAAGGGUUGAGCCCAAGUUGGAAGGGAAUCCAGCUUGUGAGUAAUAAUACCUGAGGUCUCAAGCUGAAAACCAGUGCAGCUGUCUUUCAAGACUUUCUGUAAUCUGUCUGCAACAAUAUCGAGGGUGAGAAAUUACGAUUUGUAACCAAUUUCUUUAGUGAAAUAAGCUUAUUUUGCGGGUUCUGUUUUAUUUGCUUAGUAAUCUGCUUUGUUCUUUAACCACUUAAAA
This is a long non-coding RNA of Caretta caretta (loggerhead turtle), 3132 nucleotides long. RefSeq lists it as uncharacterized. The record is from RefSeq and is a predicted model, not a curated record. Lineage: Eukaryota; Metazoa; Chordata; Testudines; Cheloniidae.